This 1540-nucleotide ribosomal RNA is filed under the name Klebsiella pneumoniae. Its description in RNAcentral is "bacterial SSU rRNA". It matches the Rfam family "Bacterial small subunit ribosomal RNA". The record is from RNAcentral. Lineage: Bacteria; Pseudomonadati; Pseudomonadota; Gammaproteobacteria; Enterobacterales; Enterobacteriaceae.
AAAUUGAAGAGUUUGAUCAUGGCUCAGAUUGAACGCUGGCGGCAGGCCUAACACAUGCAAGUCGAGCGGUAGCACAGAGAGCUUGCUCUCGGGUGACGAGCGGCGGACGGGUGAGUAAUGUCUGGGAAACUGCCUGAUGGAGGGGGAUAACUACUGGAAACGGUAGCUAAUACCGCAUAAUGUCGCAAGACCAAAGUGGGGGACCUUCGGGCCUCAUGCCAUCAGAUGUGCCCAGAUGGGAUUAGCUAGUAGGUGGGGUAAUGGCUCACCUAGGCGACGAUCCCUAGCUGGUCUGAGAGGAUGACCAGCCACACUGGAACUGAGACACGGUCCAGACUCCUACGGGAGGCAGCAGUGGGGAAUAUUGCACAAUGGGCGCAAGCCUGAUGCAGCCAUGCCGCGUGUGUGAAGAAGGCCUUCGGGUUGUAAAGCACUUUCAGCGGGGAGGAAGGCGGUGAGGUUAAUAACCUCAUCGAUUGACGUUACCCGCAGAAGAAGCACCGGCUAACUCCGUGCCAGCAGCCGCGGUAAUACGGAGGGUGCAAGCGUUAAUCGGAAUUACUGGGCGUAAAGCGCACGCAGGCGGUCUGUCAAGUCGGAUGUGAAAUCCCCGGGCUCAACCUGGGAACUGCAUUCGAAACUGGCAGGCUAGAGUCUUGUAGAGGGGGGUAGAAUUCCAGGUGUAGCGGUGAAAUGCGUAGAGAUCUGGAGGAAUACCGGUGGCGAAGGCGGCCCCCUGGACAAAGACUGACGCUCAGGUGCGAAAGCGUGGGGAGCAAACAGGAUUAGAUACCCUGGUAGUCCACGCCGUAAACGAUGUCGAUUUGGAGGUUGUGCCCUUGAGGUGUGGCUUCCGGAGCUAACGCGUUAAAUCGACCGCCUGGGGAGUACGGCCGCAAGGUUAAAACUCAAAUGAAUUGACGGGGGCCCGCACAAGCGGUGGAGCAUGUGGUUUAAUUCGAUGCAACGCGAAGAACCUUACCUGGUCUUGACAUCCACAGAACUUUCCAGAGAUGGAUUGGUGCCUUCGGGAACUGUGAGACAGGUGCUGCAUGGCUGUCGUCAGCUCGUGUUGUGAAAUGUUGGGUUAAGUCCCGCAACGAGCGCAACCCUUAUCCUUUGUUGCCAGCGGUCCGGCCGGGAACUCAAAGGAGACUGCCAGUGAUAAACUGGAGGAAGGUGGGGAUGACGUCAAGUCAUCAUGGCCCUUACGACCAGGGCUACACACGUGCUACAAUGGCAUAUACAAAGAGAAGCGACCUCGCGAGAGCAAGCGGACCUCAUAAAGUAUGUCGUAGUCCGGAUUGGAGUCUGCAACUCGACUCCAUGAAGUCGGAAUCGCUAGUAAUCGUAGAUCAGAAUGCUACGGUGAAUACGUUCCCGGGCCUUGUACACACCGCCCGUCACACCAUGGGAGUGGGUUGCAAAAGAAGUAGGUAGCUUAACCUUCGGGAGGGCGCUUACCACUUUGUGAUUCAUGACUGGGGUGAAGUCGUAACAAGGUAACCGUAGGGGAACCUGCGGUUGGAUCACCUCCUUA